This 393-nucleotide ribosomal RNA is filed under the name Mycobacterium sp. RNAcentral describes it as "bacterial SSU rRNA". It matches the Rfam family "Bacterial small subunit ribosomal RNA", at positions 149 to 556 of the family's 1533-position model. The record is from RNAcentral. Lineage: Bacteria; Bacillati; Actinomycetota; Actinomycetes; Mycobacteriales; Mycobacteriaceae.
CUGGGAAACUGGGUCUAAUACCGAAUAGGACCAUAAUCUUCAUGGGUUGUGGUGGAAAGCUUUUGCGGUGUGGGAUGGGCCCGCGGCCUAUCAGCUUGUUGGUGGGGUAAUGGCCUACCAAGGCGACGACGGGUAGCCGGCCUGAGAGGGUGACCGGCCACACUGGGACUGAGAUACGGCCCAGACUCCUACGGGAGGCAGCAGUGGGGAAUAUUGCACAAUGGGCGCAAGCCUGAUGCAGCGACGCCGCGUGAGGGAUGACGGCCUUCGGGUUGUAAACCUCUUUCAAUAGGGACGAAGCGUGAGUGACGGUACCUAUAGAAGAAGCACCGGCCAACUACGUGCCAGCAGCCGCGGUAAUACGUAGGGUGCGAGCGUUGUCCGGAAUUACUG